AGUUUGAUCCUGGCUCAGGAUGAACGCUGGCGGCGUGCCUAACACAUGCAAGUCGAGCGAGAAAUUCUCAAUCAAAUCUUCGGAAGCGAGAGAGAAUGGAAAGCGGCGGACGGGUGAGUAACGCGUAGGCAACCUGCCCUAUACAGAGGGAUAGCCAUUGGAAACGAUGAUUAAAACCUCAUAAUACCAAAUCUACACAUGUAGGAAUGGUCAAAGAUUUAUCGGUAUAGGAUGGGCCUGCGUCUGAUUAGUUAGUUGGUGAGGUAACGGCUCACCAAGGCGACGAUCAGUAGCCGACCUGAGAGGGUGAACGGCCACAUUGGAACUGAGACACGGUCCAAACUCCUACGGGAGGCAGCAGUGGGGAAUAUUGCACAAUGGGCGAAAGCCUGAUGCAGCAACGCCGCGUGAAGGAAGAAGGUCUUCGGAUCGUAAACUUCUGUCCUAUGGGAAGAAGAAAGUGACGGUACCAUAGGAGGAAGCCCCGGCUAACUACGUGCC
This 501-nucleotide ribosomal RNA is filed under the name uncultured bacterium. Its description in RNAcentral is "bacterial SSU rRNA". It matches the Rfam family "Bacterial small subunit ribosomal RNA", at positions 10 to 509 of the family's 1533-position model. The record is from RNAcentral.